Molecule: non-coding RNA, 146 nt
Organism: Gossypium hirsutum (cotton)
Lineage: Eukaryota; Viridiplantae; Streptophyta; Magnoliopsida; Malvales; Malvaceae
Source: Rfam
UGUUAAAAAAAUUCAUCUAUUUUUACUAUUAAAAAUUAGUGUGACUGAUAGAAUAACCAAAUAGUUACAUACGGCAUACCAUGUAUGCCUCAUGCUAAUGUACAUGGACUAGUUUAUAGCAGUAAAAAUCGAAGAAAUUUUUAACA